AUUGAACGCUGGCGGCAGGCCUAACACAUGCAAGUCGGACGGUAGCACAGAGGAGCUUGCUCCUCGGGUGACGAGUGGCGGACGGGUGAGUAAUGUCUGGGAAACUGCCCGAUGGAGGGGGAUAACUACUGGAAACGGUAGCUAAUACCGCAUAACGUCGCAAGACCAAAGUGGGGGACCUUCGGGCCCCACACCAUCGGAUGUGCCCAGAUGGGAUUAGCUGGUAGGCGGGGUAACGGCCCACCUAGGCGACGAUCCCUAGCUGGUCUGAGAGGAUGACCAGCCCCACUGGAACUGAGACACGGUCCAGACUCCUACGGGAGGCAGCAGUGGGGAAUAUUGCACAAUGGGCGCAAGCCUGAUGCAGCCAUGCCGCGUGUAUGAAGAAGGCCUUCGGGUUGUAAAGUACUUUCAGCGGGGAGGAAGGUGCUGAGGUUAAUAAGCUCAGCAAUUGACGUUACCCGCAGAAGAAGCACCGGCUAACUCCGUGCCAGCCGCCGCGGUAA
This 506-nucleotide ribosomal RNA is filed under the name uncultured bacterium. RNAcentral describes it as "partial 16S ribosomal RNA". It matches the Rfam family "Bacterial small subunit ribosomal RNA", at positions 29 to 523 of the family's 1533-position model. The record is from RNAcentral.